UACAGAGGUGGCAAGCGUUGUUCGGAAUUACUGGGCGUAAAGGGCUCGUAGGCGGCCAACUAAGUCAGACGUGAAAUCCCUCGGCUUAACCGGGGAACUGCAUCUGAUACUGGAUGGCUUGAGUUCGGGAGAGGGAUGUGGAAUUCCAGGUGUAGCGGUGAAAUGCGUAGAUAUCUGGAGGAACACCGGUGGCGAAGGCGGCAUCCUGGACCGACACUGACGCUGAGGAGCGAAAGCCAGGGGAGCAAACGGG
This 253-nucleotide ribosomal RNA is filed under the name uncultured bacterium. RNAcentral's name for it is "partial 16S ribosomal RNA". It matches the Rfam family "Bacterial small subunit ribosomal RNA", at positions 524 to 776 of the family's 1533-position model. The record is from RNAcentral.